This is a long non-coding RNA of Perca fluviatilis (European perch), 902 nucleotides long. RefSeq lists it as uncharacterized. Lineage: Eukaryota; Metazoa; Chordata; Actinopteri; Perciformes; Percidae. The record is from RefSeq and is a predicted model, not a curated record. The transcript has 2 exons.
GAGAUUUUUUUGGGGGGGUGUGAGAGAGUGAGGAGGGGACGGCGCAGCACAGGAGGAUAGAUAGAGGGGACGGCGCGAGACGAGGUGCACAGGCUGGGGCCGAGGACAGAAGACUAGAGAUGGAUCCCAGCUGCAAGGCAGCAGACGCUCGCUGCCGGUGGGGGGAGGAAACGGCUUCGCGGUGGUAAGGAGACGAACCCACAGGAUGGCGUGUUGCUCGUGGAGGAUGUCUCUCUCCCUGCUCUCUCUUCCUAUUGCCAUGAUGGUGUGAUGGUGCUUCCUCAGCUCUGCGUGGCUGUAGCUGAGCACACUGGGACUCCAGUGUUUCUUAGGAACUGAUUGGUGCAUGGCAGUAGUCGCAUGAUGCUUCCUAACUGAGCUCCACCAACUUCAAACCAAUGAAUUCCUCCAGCACAAUGUCCAAAACUGUUGAGAGAAUGUGUUGAUGUAAGAGCCCGUCGUUAAGGACGACAAACGACUUUUCGCUGAGUGAUUUCACUGUUGUUCUCAUACGCACCAAAUCCCAUGAAGAGACCCAAACCAACAAUGUAUUGAUCCUACUCAGGUAUUGUCUCUGCAUAUGCACCUUUUUUUUCUUCUUCUAUUUUUUAGAAUAUCAUUUAAUGUUAACUCAGUAGGGAAGGUUUAUCUUAUGUAUUGUCCAUAACAUAUACAUGAUGUAGUGUUGGCUUGCCAAAAGCUCAGCAUCAGGAUGUUAACCCUCAGUCCUGAGUCCGCACGCUCCAUACAGAGUCGGGACGCCACUGCAGACACUCCACUCUCUGUGUCCCUGUCCUGUCCCCACUCGCACGCUGCCAUGGGACACACAGACACCAACACGUGCACUUUGGUUUGUGGCUGCAACUCUUCAUGAUGAUAAUAAAGUUCAAGUCUCCCACCUA